AUGGCCGUCGUCAGUUCGUACUGUGAAGCAUCCUGUUAAGUCAGGCACGAGCGAGACCCACGUCCACAGUUGCCAGCAUACCCCUCCGGGGUGAUGGGUACACUGUGGAGACCGCCGCUGCUAAAGCGGAGGAAGGAGUGGGCAACGGUAGGUCAGUAUGCCCCGAAUCUCCCGGGCUACACGCGGGCUACAAUGGUUGGUACAAUGGGCAUCUACCCCGAAAGGGGAAGGAAAUCUCUUAAAGCCAAUCGUAGUUCGGAUUGAGGGCUGCAACUCGCCCUCAUGAAGCUGGAAUCCGUAGUAAUCGCGUUUCAACAGAACGCGGUGAAUACGUCCCUGCUCCUU
This 345-nucleotide ribosomal RNA is filed under the name uncultured Methanosaeta sp. RNAcentral describes it as "bacterial SSU rRNA". It matches the Rfam family "Archaeal small subunit ribosomal RNA", at positions 994 to 1338 of the family's 1478-position model. Lineage: Archaea; Methanobacteriati; Methanobacteriota; Methanomicrobia; Methanotrichales; Methanotrichaceae. The record is from RNAcentral.